UUUCCGUAGGUGAACCUGCGGAAGGAUCAUUAUCGAGUUUGAAAGGAGUUGAUGCUGGCCUUCGGAGGCAUGUGCUCGAUCCUGUCAGAUCCAACUCAACACCUGUGCACAUCAGAGGGCGCGAGUGGUCUGUCCCUUGCCAACGGGCCUCGAUUCCUCCGUGGGUCGAGGCUUGGAGGGGUGGAUCCUGGCGACCUCCUUCACAUCACAAACUCUUGAACGUAUCCAGAACGUGUAGCAGCCCUCGUGUGGGGCAGUCUUGAUUACAACUUUCAACAACGGAUCUCUUGGCUCUC
Molecule: unclassified non-coding RNA, 296 nt
Filed under: plant metagenome
Description: partial contains small subunit ribosomal RNA, internal transcribed spacer 1, and 5.8S ribosomal RNA
Source: RNAcentral